RNAcentral lists this ribosomal RNA (1539 nucleotides) under Klebsiella pneumoniae UHKPC05. Its description in RNAcentral is "bacterial SSU rRNA". It matches the Rfam family "Bacterial small subunit ribosomal RNA". Lineage: Bacteria; Pseudomonadati; Pseudomonadota; Gammaproteobacteria; Enterobacterales; Enterobacteriaceae. RNAcentral also lists the same sequence under 3 other names. The record is from RNAcentral.
AAUUGAAGAGUUUGAUCAUGGCUCAGAUUGAACGCUGGCGGCAGGCCUAACACAUGCAAGUCGAGCGGUAGCACAGAGAGCUUGCUCUCGGGUGACGAGCGGCGGACGGGUGAGUAAUGUCUGGGAAACUGCCUGAUGGAGGGGGAUAACUACUGGAAACGGUAGCUAAUACCGCAUAAUGUCGCAAGACCAAAGUGGGGGACCUUCGGGCCUCAUGCCAUCAGAUGUGCCCAGAUGGGAUUAGCUUGUAGGUGGGGUAACGGCUCACCUAGGCGACGAUCCCUAGCUGGUCUGAGAGGAUGACCAGCCACACUGGAACUGAGACACGGUCCAGACUCCUACGGGAGGCAGCAGUGGGGAAUAUUGCACAAUGGGCGCAAGCCUGAUGCAGCCAUGCCGCGUGUGUGAAGAAGGCCUUCGGGUUGUAAAGCACUUUCAGCGGGGAGGAAGGCGGUGAGGUUAAUAACCUCAUCGAUUGACGUUACCCGCAGAAGAAGCACCGGCUAACUCCGUGCCAGCAGCCGCGGUAAUACGGAGGGUGCAAGCGUUAAUCGGAAUUACUGGGCGUAAAGCGCACGCAGGCGGUCUGUCAAGUCGGAUGUGAAAUCCCCGGGCUCAACCUGGGAACUGCAUUCGAAACUGGCAGGCUAGAGUCUUGUAGAGGGGGGUAGAAUUCCAGGUGUAGCGGUGAAAUGCGUAGAGAUCUGGAGGAAUACCGGUGGCGAAGGCGGCCCCCUGGACAAAGACUGACGCUCAGGUGCGAAAGCGUGGGGAGCAAACAGGAUUAGAUACCCUGGUAGUCCACGCCGUAAACGAUGUCGAUUUGGAGGUUGUGCCCUUGAGGCGUGGCUUCCGGAGCUAACGCGUUAAAUCGACCGCCUGGGGAGUACGGCCGCAAGGUUAAAACUCAAAUGAAUUGACGGGGGCCCGCACAAGCGGUGGAGCAUGUGGUUUAAUUCGAUGCAACGCGAAGAACCUUACCUGGUCUUGACAUCCACAGAACUUUCCAGAGAUGGAUUGGUGCCUUCGGGAACUGUGAGACAGGUGCUGCAUGGCUGUCGUCAGCUCGUGUUGUGAAAUGUUGGGUUAAGUCCCGCAACGAGCGCAACCCUUAUCCUUUGUUGCCAGCGGUCCGGCCGGGAACUCAAAGGAGACUGCCAGUGAUAAACUGGAGGAAGGUGGGGAUGACGUCAAGUCAUCAUGGCCCUUACGACCAGGGCUACACACGUGCUACAAUGGCAUAUACAAAGAGAAGCGACCUCGCGAGAGCAAGCGGACCUCAUAAAGUAUGUCGUAGUCCGGAUUGGAGUCUGCAACUCGACUCCAUGAAGUCGGAAUCGCUAGUAAUCGUAGAUCAGAAUGCUACGGUGAAUACGUUCCCGGGCCUUGUACACACCGCCCGUCACACCAUGGGAGUGGGUUGCAAAAGAAGUAGGUAGCUUAACCUUCGGGAGGGCGCUUACCACUUUGUGAUUCAUGACUGGGGUGAAGUCGUAACAAGGUAACCGUAGGGGAACCUGCGGUUGGAUCACCUCCUUA